UACGUAGGUGGCAAGCGUUGUCCGGAUUUACUGGGCGUAAAGGGAGCGUAGGCGGACUUUUAAGUGAGAUGUGAAAUACUCGGGCUCAACCUGGGUGCUGCAUUUCAAACUGGAAGUCUAGAGUGCAGGAGAGGAGAAUGGAAUUCCUAGUGUAGCGGUGAAAUGCGUAGAGAUUAGGAAGAACACCAGUGGCGAAGGCGAUUCUCUGGACUGUAACUGACGCUGAGGCUCGAAAGCGUGGGGAGCAAACAGG
RNAcentral lists this ribosomal RNA (253 nucleotides) under uncultured bacterium. Its description in RNAcentral is "partial 16S ribosomal RNA". It matches the Rfam family "Bacterial small subunit ribosomal RNA", at positions 524 to 776 of the family's 1533-position model. The record is from RNAcentral.